UACGUAGGGCGCAAGCGUUAUCCGGAAUUAUUGGGCGUAAAGAGCUCGUAGGCGGCUUGUCACGUCGAUUGUGAAAGCCCGAGGCUUAACCUCGGGUCUGCAGUCGAUACGGGCUAGCUAGAGUGUGGUAGGGGAGAUCGGAAUUCCUGGUGUAGCGGUGAAAUGCGCAGAUAUCAGGAGGAACACCGGUGGCGAAGGCGGAUCUCUGGGCCAUUACUGACGCUGAGGAGCGAAAGCGUGGGGAGCGAACAGG
This 253-nucleotide ribosomal RNA is filed under the name uncultured bacterium. Its description in RNAcentral is "partial 16S ribosomal RNA". It matches the Rfam family "Bacterial small subunit ribosomal RNA", at positions 524 to 776 of the family's 1533-position model. The record is from RNAcentral.